GACGAACGCUGGCGGCGUGCUUAACACAUGCAAGUCGAACGGAAAGGCCCUGCUUUUGUGGGGUGCUCGAGUGGCGAACGGGUGAGUAACACGUGAGUAACCUGCCCUUGACUUUGGGAUAACUUCAGGAAACUGGGGCUAAUACCGGAUAGGAGCUCCUGCUGCAUGGUGGGGGUUGGAAAGUUUCGGCGGUUGGGGAUGGACUCGCGGCUUAUCAGCUUGUUGGUGGGGUAGUGGCUUACCAAGGCUUUGACGGGUAGCCGGCCUGAGAGGGUGACCGGCCCCAUUGGGACUGCGAUACGGCCCAGACUCGUACGGGAGGCAACAGUGGGGAAUAUUGCACAAUGGCCGGGAGCCUGAUACAGCAACGCCGCGUGCGGGAUGACGGCCUUCGGGGUGUAAACCGCUUUGGCCUGUGACGAGGAGUGAGUGACGGUAAUGGGUAAAGAAGCACCGGCUAACUACGUG
RNAcentral lists this ribosomal RNA (468 nucleotides) under uncultured bacterium. RNAcentral's name for it is "partial 16S ribosomal RNA". It matches the Rfam family "Bacterial small subunit ribosomal RNA", at positions 28 to 507 of the family's 1533-position model. The record is from RNAcentral.